RNAcentral lists this ribosomal RNA (56 nucleotides) under Metschnikowia pimensis. RNAcentral's name for it is "partial 26S ribosomal RNA". The record is from RNAcentral. Lineage: Eukaryota; Fungi; Ascomycota; Pichiomycetes; Serinales; Metschnikowiaceae.
UUUCCUCACCCUCGUAAGACUACCCGCUGAACUUAAGCAUAUCAAUAAGCGGAGGA